AUGAAAUGUUAGGACGCUGUUUUUACAGGUCCGACCCUUUUAUUACCUUUCACACUGUGCACAUCACUACUUUUUUACACCCAUCUUUUAAACACUUAUAAAGUCAUUAGAAUGUAAACAGUCUCUUAAUUGAGCAUAAACUAUAACA
This 148-nucleotide unclassified non-coding RNA is filed under the name soil metagenome. RNAcentral's name for it is "partial internal transcribed spacer 1". The record is from RNAcentral.